This 492-nucleotide ribosomal RNA is filed under the name uncultured bacterium. Its description in RNAcentral is "partial 16S ribosomal RNA". It matches the Rfam family "Bacterial small subunit ribosomal RNA", at positions 29 to 507 of the family's 1533-position model. The record is from RNAcentral.
AUUGAACGCUGGCGGCAUGCUUUACACAUGCAAGUCGAGCGGUAACAGGCCUUCGGGUGCUGACGAGUGGCGAACGGGUGAGUAAUGCAUCGGAACGUACCCAGAGGUGGGGGAUAACGCAGCGAAAGCUGUGCUAAUCCCGCAUGUUAUCUGAGGAUGCAAGCGGGGGACCGAGCAGCAAUGUUUGGCCUCGCGCCUUUGGAGCGGCCGAUGUCGGAUUAGCUAGUUGGUGGGGUAAAGGCCUACCAAGGCGACGAUCCGUAGCUGGUCUGAGAGGAGGAUAGGCCAGAUGGGAAGUGAGACACGGUCCAGACGACUACGGUAGGCAGCAGCGGGGUAUAUUGGACAAUGGGCGCAAGCCUGAGCCAGCCAUACCGAGUGGGUGAAGAAGGCCUUCGGGUUGGAAAGCCAAUUUGCGGGGAAAGAAAAGCAGCAGGUUAAUACCCCGCUGGUAUGACGGUACCCAAAGAAUAAGCACCGGCUAACUUCGUG